UCCGUAGGGGGCAAGCGUUGUCCGGAAUCAUUGGGCGUAAAGCGCGCGUAGGUGGCUAUGUAAGUCCGUUGUGAAAGUCAAAGGCUCAACCUUUGAAAGCCGAUGGAUACUGCAUAGCUAGAGUACGGAAGAGGCGAGUGGAAUUCCUGGUGUAGCGGUGGAAUGCGCAGAUAUCAGGAGGAACACCAAUAGCGAAGGCAGCUCGCUGGGACGUUACUGACACUGAGGCGCGAAAGCGUGGGGAGCGAACAGG
This 253-nucleotide ribosomal RNA is filed under the name uncultured bacterium. RNAcentral's name for it is "partial 16S ribosomal RNA". It matches the Rfam family "Bacterial small subunit ribosomal RNA", at positions 524 to 776 of the family's 1533-position model. The record is from RNAcentral.